Molecule: ribosomal RNA, 301 nt
Filed under: uncultured bacterium
Lineage: Bacteria
Description: partial 16S ribosomal RNA
Rfam family: Bacterial small subunit ribosomal RNA
Source: RNAcentral
CAGUCGCCGCGGUAACACGUAGGGCGCAAGCGUUGUCCGGAAUUAUUGGGCGUAAAGAGCUCGUAGGCGGUCUGUCGCGUCUGGUGUGAAAUCCCGAGGCUCAACCUCGGGCUUGCAUCGGGUACGGGCAGACUAGAGUGCGGUAGGGGAGACUGGAAUUCCUGGUGUAGCGGUGGAAUGCGCAGAUAUCAGGAGGAACACCGAUGGCGAAGGCAGGUCUCUGGGCCGCAACUGACGCUGAGGAGCGAAAGCAUGGGGAGCGAACAGGAUUAGAUACCCCUGUAGUCCCUGUCUCUUAUAC